Aphidius gifuensis is the source of this 508-nucleotide long non-coding RNA. RefSeq lists it as uncharacterized. The record is from RefSeq and is a predicted model, not a curated record. The transcript is spliced from 3 exons. Lineage: Eukaryota; Metazoa; Arthropoda; Insecta; Hymenoptera; Braconidae.
GCAGAUAGAAGAUGUUAUAAUCGAAGAAGGAAUCAUUCUGUUCAAUGACAUCUGGAUGAGACUGAAAUAAAUGUCCCGCUGACCCCGCAACAAACACACAACGGUCAUUGCCAAGUGACAAUGCCCUUACCCAACAGUAUGUGCCAAUGUGGUUUUUUUACAUCUCAUAUUAUCUCUUUUAUUUGGUAUACUGAUGAUGUACCGGAUAUGAGAUCACCCGCGGCUCGUUUAACCUCCUAGACACUGGGAGGAGCUAAAAAAAAUUAAAGAAUAAAUAAUAAUUUUGAUAACCAAAGAGAAGACGACCAAGGGAAGAUCAAAAUUAUAUAUACAUAUGAAGCAGUUAUUAUGAUUAUCAUAAAUGGGCGUUUUGGACUUGAUUAAAAAGCUGGAAGAGAUGCUGUUAUAAUCCUGAUUAAGAAGACAAUGAUUUUUGAGACAGGAUUAAAUUAGAAUAGACAUUUUAAUUGCUGCAGUUUUUGGGGUGUGUUUGUAUGGAGAGGGAAAG